This is a long non-coding RNA of Myotis brandtii (Brandt's bat), 1629 nucleotides long. RefSeq lists it as uncharacterized. The transcript is spliced from 5 exons. Lineage: Eukaryota; Metazoa; Chordata; Mammalia; Chiroptera; Vespertilionidae. The record is from RefSeq and is a predicted model, not a curated record.
CCCCGAGUGUCGGGGUCCGAGCUUCACCCCGAGGCUGCGGGCCCUGCGCAGCUCCCACCCCGGAGAAGCCCGCGGGGAUUUGGAUCCGGUUUUACUUUCAGUUUGGGUUCAAUUCCUGGUAGUGGGAAGGGCGGGGAGGACGAGACUGACCUCGGGGCGGGUCAGGGUCUCACACCCUCCAGUUGAUGUUGGGCUGUGACAUGGGACCGGACGGCCGCCUCCUCCGCGGUUAUUACCAGUUCGCUUACGACGGAACCGACUACCUCGCCCUGAACAAGGACCUGCGCUCCUGGACCGCGGCCGACACCGCAGCUCAGAUCACCCGGCGCCAAGUGGGAGGAGGCCCGUGAGGCUGAGCGAUACAGGAACAUCCUGGAGGGCAGGUGCCUGGAGUGGCUGCGCAGAUUCCUGGAGAUGGGGAAGGAGGUGCUGCAGCGCGCAGGUGGAAAAGGAGGGAGCUAUUCUCAGGCUGCCAGCAGCGAUAGUGCCCAGGGCUCUGAUGUAUCUCUCACAGCUUGUAAAGCGUGAGGCACUUGUCCGGGACUGAGUGAUGAGAGAUUUGUUCACGCUCCUACUUUGUGAUUCAAGAACCUCUGGUUACUUUCUGCAAACAGCAUCUGAAUGUGUGUGUUCCUAUCAGCAUAACGUGAGGAGGUGGGAGGCUGGCCCACCCCUGCCCACCACACCCCCUCCCCAGCCUUUCCUGUCCAGUAGAGGUGGGGCUGGCCGUCCCCAUUCCUGUUUUUACUGCCUGGUACGCUCAGCUGCAGCUUCUUACUGCCUGAUUAAAAUAAGAGUCUGGAUUUGCAUUCUUCUUCACUUCUUGCCAUGAAGGGGUGAUGGGUUCCUUAAAGGAGAACAGCCCGGCUGGUGUGCCUCAGUGGCUGAGUGUCCACCCAGGAACCAGGAGGUCAUGGUUGGAUUCCCUUUCAGGGCAUAUGCCCAGACUUCAGCUCAGUUCCCACCAGGGUCAUGCAUGUGAAGCCAAUGGAUGUUUCUCUUUCAUCAUUGAUGUUUCAAUCCGUCUCUCCCUCUUCUUUCCUCUCUCUUUGAAAAUUAAUAAAAACAUAUUUUUGAAAAAAAUUAAAGGAGAAGAUCCUAAAAUUUGAGAGGAAAUAAAUGGAAGCCCCAAGAACUGGUCAGGACCUGUGUGUUUGCUGUGCUGAGGCUGUUGCAGGGGAGACAGGAGAGGCUGUGAGGACCGAGUGUGGUCAGGGCUGUGCCCAGUUGGCUCCCUGGUCUCUUCAGCUGGGUCACCUCUCUGCUCCUUUGUUCUUCUCACUUCAGGAGAACCUUGUCCCACCAGGACUUUCCAUAACAGGGACUCAAACCUCUCCAGGCCUUGUAAAUUGUCCUAAUGAGGAACAUCUCCAAACCAGUGGGCAGCAAGGCCUUCCUGUGACUGGGUCAGCCUAGGCUCAGGCCUGGGUCCUGCCCUCAGCCCUCAGCCUCUGGGACUUAUUUGUUGUUUCUUUGUUUGUGUAGAGGAUUGUGCCUUUUUCGUUCUUGUUUUGAGUUUUGGUCUCAUCCUUCUUUUGAGUGUCCCCUAUCCAGCAUCAGCCAGAGGUGAGUUGUCUGUCAUUGUGCCCACAAGGCUCAGGGGUCCCUGCACAUAAGAGUCCAUGGUAU